Molecule: long non-coding RNA, 215 nt
Filed under: Elaeis guineensis (African oil palm)
Lineage: Eukaryota; Viridiplantae; Streptophyta; Magnoliopsida; Arecales; Arecaceae
Description: long non-coding RNA (EGUI_LNC028524)
Source: RNAcentral
CGUACUGAACCCUUAUCAGUAGAAGUUCAUCCGGAGUCAGGGAGCAAGGAAUGGCACUCGACGCAAAAAUUGGGUGAAGCCCGAUCCCAGAUGUGGGUUCAUCUACAGAAUGGGGGUCCUGGGGGGCUGAGGCGGAAGAACUCCCGAAACCGCUAGAGGCAGAGAUGCCGGAGGAUAUUUCGAAUGACUUCAAAUGAAAGCCCUAAAGAUCCCAG